AGAGUUUGAUCCUGGCUCAGGACGAACGCUGGCGGCGCGCCUAACACAUGCAAGUCGAACGAGCGAGAGAGAGCUUGCUUUCUCGAGCGAGUGGCGAACGGGUGAGUAACGCGUGAGGAACCUGCCUCAAAGAGGGGGACAACAGUUGGAAACGACUGCUAAUACCGCAUAAGCCCACAGCUCGGCAUCGAGCAGAGGGAAAAGGAGCAAUCCGCUUUGAGAUGGCCUCGCGUCCGAUUAGCUGGUUGGUGAGGUAACGGCCCACCAAGGCAACGAUCGGUAGCCGGACUGAGAGGUUGAACGGCCACAUUGGGACUGAGACACGGCCCAGACUCCUACGGGAGGCAGCAGUGGGGAAUAUUGCACAAUGGGGGAAACCCUGAUGCAGCGACGCCGCGUGGAGGAAGAAGGUCUUCGGAUUGUAAACUCCUGUUGUUGAGGAAGAUAAUGACGGUACUCAACAAGGAAGUGACGGCUAACUACGUGCCGGCAGCCGCGGUAAAACGUAGGUCACAAGCGUUGUCCGGAAUUACUGGGUGUAAAGGGAGCGCAGGCGGGAAGACAAGUUGGAAGUGAAAUCUAUGGGCUCAACCCAUAAACUGCUUUCAGAACUCUUUUCUUGAGUAGUGCAGAGGUAGGCGGAAUCCCCGGUGUAGCGGUGGAAUGCGUAGAUAUCGGGAGAACACCAGUGGCGAAGGCGGCCUACUGGGCACCAACUGACGGUGAGGCUCGAAAGUGUGGGUACCAACAGGAUUAGAUACCCUGGUAGUCCACACCGUAAACGAUGAUUACUAGGUGUUGGAGGAUUGACCCCUUCAGUGCCGCAGUUAACACAAUAAGUAAUCCACCUGGGGAGUACGACCGCAAGGUUGAAACUCAAAGGAAUUGACGGGGGCCCGCACAAGCAGUGGAGUAUGUGGUUUAGUUCGACGCAACGCGAAGAACCUUACCAAGUCUUGACAUCCUGCGACGCACAUAGAAAUAUGUGUUUCCUUCGGGACGCAGAGACAGGUGGUGCAUGGUUGUCGUCAGCUCGUGUCGUGAGAUGUUGGGUUAAGUCCCGCAACGAGCGCAACCCUUACUGUCAGUUACUACGCAAGAGGACUCUGGCAGGACUGCCGUUGACAAAACGGAGGAAGGUGGGGAUGACGUCAAAUCAUCAUGCCCUUUAUGACUUGGGCUACACACGUACUACAAUGGCGUUAAACAAAGAGAAGCGAGACCGCGAGGUGGAGCAAAACUCAGAAACAACGUCCCAGUUCGGACUGCAGGCUGCAACUCGCCUGCACGAAGUCGGAAUUGCUAGUAAUCGUGGAUCAGCAUGCCACGGUGAAUACGUUCCCGGGCCCAUUGUACACACGCGCCCGUNNC
This 1371-nucleotide ribosomal RNA is filed under the name uncultured bacterium. RNAcentral's name for it is "bacterial SSU rRNA". It matches the Rfam family "Bacterial small subunit ribosomal RNA". The record is from RNAcentral.